This 245-nucleotide ribosomal RNA is filed under the name uncultured bacterium. RNAcentral's name for it is "partial 16S ribosomal RNA". It matches the Rfam family "Bacterial small subunit ribosomal RNA", at positions 109 to 354 of the family's 1533-position model. The record is from RNAcentral.
AGUAACGCGUGGGCAACCUGCCCCAUAGAGGGGGACAACAGCUGGAAACGGUUGCUAAUACCGCAUAACAAGGAGAGAGCGCAUGUUCUUUUCUUCAAAGAUUUAUCGCUAUGGGAUGGACCCGCGUCUGAUUAGCUAGUUGGUGAGGUAACGGCUCACCAAGGCGACGAUCAGUAGCCGGCUUGAGAGAGUGAACGGCCACAUUGGGACUGAGACACGGCCCAGACUCCUACGGAAGGCAGCAG